Molecule: ribosomal RNA, 472 nt
Filed under: uncultured bacterium
Lineage: Bacteria
Description: bacterial SSU rRNA
Rfam family: Bacterial small subunit ribosomal RNA
Source: RNAcentral
AGAGUUUGAUCAUGGCUCAGAGCGAACGCUGGCGGCAGGCCUAACACAUGCAAGUCGAACGGAUCCUUUGGGAUUAGUGGCGGACGGGUGAGUAACACGUGGGAACGUGCCUUUUGGUUCGGAACAACUCAGGGAAACUUGAGCUAAUACCGGAUAAGCCUUUCGAGGGAAAGAUUUAUCGCCAUUAGAGCGGCACGCGUAGGAUUAGCUAGUUGGUGGGGUAAAGGCCCACCAAGGCUACGAUCCUUAGCUGGUCUGAGAGGAUGAUCAGCCACAUUGGGACUGAGACACGGCCCAAACUCCUACGGGAGGCAGCAUUGGGGAAUCUUGCGCAAUGGGCGAAAGCCUGACGCAGCCAUGCCGCGUGAAUGAUGAAGGUCUUAGGAUUGUAAAAUUCUUUCACCGAGGACGAUAAUGACGGUACUCGGAGAAGAAGCCCCGGCUAACUUCGUGCCAGCCGCCGCGGUAAUAC